AUGCAGCAGUCGGCUCGACUCCUCCUUCAGGACCAACCAGGCAUUGGUCCACCGAGCUCCUGCUACACCCUCCCCCGCCCCAGCCUUUUCAGAAACCACCCUGAGCUUGGAACAGAGCUCUGAAGUGGUCAAAGUGAGAUGAGCAGGACAGGCGGAGCCAUUCUCCACUGCCACAUCCCUCAUGCACGUCACUCGUCUCCCACUGCAGGCCAAGGCCAAAACUGGCCUAGGCCUGGCCAGGGAAAUCAGCAGCUCUUCUUGGAUGAGAGUGUGCCUCCUAUUGCUCCCUGGCGAUCCAGAGGCUAGGCUGCAGCCCAUUCAGCUUGCAGGCAAAACACAUGCUCUCUUCUCUCCUGACAGCUGAGCAAGCCCAGGGAAUAGCCCUCCUCUCUCCAGCAAGCUUCUCUGAAAUCUUAGACUCAGCCGUUCUUAGGCCUAUGAUGGUACACAAAGGUUGUCCAGGGAGAAGGGGGUGUAGGAGGGCAGAUGGUGCCCCACAGGGAGCUGGUGGCUUCAGCCCCCCUAGAGCUCCUAAAGAUCACACAGCAGCUGCUCCUGAUGGGGGUGCUUAUGCACAGAAAGAAACCCCAGGAGAGGCAGGCGGAGCGAGACAGAGCAGAGCCAGGGCCAGGGGCACAAGGAGAGGCGUUUCUGGGGCUUUGGGGAAGUGCCACAGGAGGCAGAAGUCCAGAACUGCCCAUAUAGAUGCCCUUCUAUGUCCUGGAGCCCAAAUCAGUCAUGUAAGUGGGAAGUUCCCAGGACAGUGGCCAUAUCGUGAGAAUGAGCAGGAAAGGCUGGCCCCAGAGGUGUUUAAUAAAGCUGGAGACUGAACAAAGGCCUGUGCUGAGACCCACAGACCUGGCCUAAGCUCCUGGCUAGCCUGCCUGGCCCACCUCACAGGCCACCCUGAGCCCUGCUCCCUAAAAACCUGCAUCUUCCCCUGCUUGUCAAGGUGCACCCUGCAGUGUGAUGCACAGCUCAGGGUUUUAGGAGGUCACCAGAUCUCUCUGGGCUUCAGUCUCCCACAUGUAAAAUAAGGCACUUUGACCAGAUUGUUUCCAAAACUCUUUCACCUCUAAUACACUGUGAGCUUGGCAGCCCCUCUGGAGGAAGGAGGAGUUGACUCCAGAAAACUGACACUUAACAGGAGUAACUGCAGAGCUUUUGCCCUUGAGGCUAAGGGCCCCUGGCUAACUGCCACUGCUGGCAGCAGCCGCUGUGCCCAAGACAUGGGGACUGAGGUGAUGCAGCCCACCAUCCACCCCUGUGCCUCUCAGGGGAUGCAGCUGAGGUCAGGCUAAAAGAAGCAAGGGACUCUGCACUGUGUGGCCACUUGCAGACACAGACCAAUUGGGUCAGGAUGGCAGAGGGUUUCUAGAUCAAGCCUGCUGGGCCACAGCUGGAAGAAGCAGGAGUUAUAACCCAGAAGUGGAAAGACCUGGGGCAGAGGGAGUGUCGCUGUCAGAUUUCAACUUAACCUGAAGAACUUAGCAGAGACGGAAGGGCCUGCCCUAGAAAGUGAUGAGCCCCUUGUUGCUGGAGCUGUGCAAAUGGUGGCUGCACUAUCACAUGACAGGGUCACGGGAUGGGCCAGAUGACCAGAUGAUCCCUUUCACCCCAAUCAGGCUAUGAACUUUGAGAACUGGGAACAAAAAAGUCUAAUCUGGGUUCUCAUCAUAGCUAUUUCUGAGGAUGAAAUGGGAGACCUAUGCCCAGCACUGAUGUCAGUUUAUAUAAUGUAAUGCUGUGUAUCUACCACUAAGAAACACAUGAACCGCACCGCGUGGACAGGAAGUGUUCACAAAGCCACAUGAGGCAAGAAACAGUGCCGGGUGCCCAGCACAUGCACUAGAGAGAAGCUACAGACAUUAGGACAAGGAGAGUUGGUGUCUUUCUAAAACGUUCUUACUUAAAAACGUGUCCCCACUUACUAACAUGAAUUACACAGUUUGCAAGAAGAAAAGUCUUUCCCAUUCUCUAGUGCUGCUCCCCCACCCAGCAGUCACUUCCAGUUCUUUCAGGUAUUUUAAAAAUGUGCUUAUAUGACUCCUGCUUGAUUUAUCAAUCUUAGACAUUACCUGUUGACUCCCUGUUGUCAUACAUGAGGCUUUAGCUCUUGUACCCCUCCCCCAUCCCUAGUUUUUAGAUUAAAAAAAAACACUCAGAAUACUAUUUCUAUUAUUAUGUGAAAGUUAUUAACUGCAGAGCCAAGAAUUGGAAUAUAAUUAAAUUCACUUUGUUGUACUUU
Non-coding RNA from Saimiri boliviensis boliviensis (Bolivian squirrel monkey), 2248 nucleotides. The record is from RefSeq and is a predicted model, not a curated record. Lineage: Eukaryota; Metazoa; Chordata; Mammalia; Primates; Cebidae.